Molecule: unclassified non-coding RNA, 489 nt
Filed under: Hevea brasiliensis (rubber tree)
Lineage: Eukaryota; Viridiplantae; Streptophyta; Magnoliopsida; Malpighiales; Euphorbiaceae
Source: RNAcentral
GAAAAAUCAAAUCUUCACAGAUUGAACAUCUUUUUAACUCGACAGAACCAAGGUUUCUUGAAGGAUUUGAAACAAAGGUUAGAUUGUUACUCGAAUUUGGGAUUACCCAAGACACAAUUGUUCACGUUCUCAACAAUGCCAACUUAACAAAGGCAUUUUGUCUCAAGUCAUUUGAAGAUAUAGAAAGAAUGCUUACUUUCUUGAACCGUUUUGGUGGUGGUGAUUUGAUUCUUCGCCGACCAGCACUUCUCAAUUAUGACCUUGAUGCCCAGUUGAUUCCCAGGGUAGGGUUCCUCUUGGAGCUGAGUGGGGGUGAUGAGACUGGAACUGCAACUGUGUUGCGUAAGUUGCCAUUUGUUGUAGCAUACAGUGUUGAUCACUUAAAAGAUCACGUAGAGUUCUUGAAAUCAUAUGCUGGCUUAAGUGAGGAAGAGAUCUUUCGAAUUGUUUUAGUUUAUCCCAACAUGUUUAGUGCCAGCAGGAAAAGAA